GUGGGGAAUUUUCCGCGAUGGGCGAAAGCCUGACGGAGCAAUGCCGCGUGGAGGUGGAAGGCCUACGGGUCGUCAACUUCUUUUCUCGGAGAAGAAACAAUGACGGUAUCUGAGGAAUAAGCAUCGGCUAACUCUGUGCCAG
RNAcentral lists this ribosomal RNA (142 nucleotides) under uncultured bacterium. Its description in RNAcentral is "partial 16S rRNA". It matches the Rfam family "Bacterial small subunit ribosomal RNA", at positions 354 to 511 of the family's 1533-position model. The record is from RNAcentral.